RNAcentral lists this long non-coding RNA (681 nucleotides) under Olea europaea (common olive). RNAcentral describes it as "long non-coding RNA (OEUR_LNC007568)". The record is from RNAcentral. Lineage: Eukaryota; Viridiplantae; Streptophyta; Magnoliopsida; Lamiales; Oleaceae.
GUAAAAACGUGUUUCUCAAUUCAUUGACAACUAUAUUAAGGGCAAAUGGGUCUUUUGGAAGUGGAUGGCCCAAGUGGCAACCCCCAAUUGGACAGUCGAGCUUCACGCGAGUUGUGCUUCUUUGAAACACAUCCUGGCCGUCCAUAACAGAUCUAUGGUUGAAAUGCAAUCUGAUUUUGAAUUGUGUUUAUCAAGGGAUGGUCCAUUGGCUUUUCAAGAAGACACGUUUUUUACUUCAAAGUUCUCUCUCUCUAGGCUUUGAGUUCUCUUCGAGAAAACUUCAUCUCCUUCUUCUUUUGGGUUUUUGAUUCUUGUAGUUUUUCAUAGAAUCGUUGUAUAUUUAGAAGUGUGACGUGAAAGCCUUCCUGCUACAGUAACUUUGGCCGUUUGUUGUGUCUGGUUUUGGUCGGCAGUUUGAGUGUUUGUGCUUUGGUUGAUUAAGGGUUGAUUUGUGUGAGAUCCUUUGGAUCAAUGAUCAAACCCGGUGUCUGUGGUUUUUUCAUUGUUGUCACUGUCUCUUGAAGGGUUACUUUGCACAUAGUGAACGGGCUUGCCUCUGAGCCCCCCAGAUUAGGCAUUUGGCCGAACUGGGUGAUCAAGAUUUGAUGUUCUUUACUGUUUUUUGUUUGAUUGAUUGGCCACUUUCACACAACUACACAAAAGAACGUAAAAUUCCUAACA